Molecule: long non-coding RNA, 3404 nt
Filed under: Ananas comosus (pineapple)
Lineage: Eukaryota; Viridiplantae; Streptophyta; Magnoliopsida; Poales; Bromeliaceae
Description: long non-coding RNA (ACOM_LNC003177)
Source: RNAcentral
UCAUAUGGACCUAAGUCAUUGAACCUCAACCCAUCCGUAUUAAAUCAACACUUUGACUCUAAACCCAUCUAAACCCAUUAACCUUAACCUCACUCAAAAUCCAUUAACCGUUACCUAUAACCCAAUCCAAUUAAACCUUAGCCCAAUUCUAAACCUAUAACCUAUAACCCAAUCCAAUUAAAUCUAAGCCUAGUCCAAAGCCCAGAGCCCAUUUACAAAUGGCCCCGGUCCAAAACCCAUUUGGGCCCACUAUCUAAACCCAUUAUCCAAAACUCAUUAAAACCAUUAACCCAUGAACCCAUAUACAUAAACCUAUAUACAUUUACCCAUGAACCCGUACACAUUUAACCCAUAUCCAAGCCCAUAACUUUAACCAAGUCCAUGAACUUUGAACCAAAACCAUGGACCAAACCAUACACCAAAUCCUGUGGACCAUACCAUACACCAAAUCCACGAACUAUGAAUCAAGUUCAUGAAUCAAAUCAAGUUCAUGAACCAGGGAUCAUAGACCACAAACCAUACACCAAGUUCAUGAACCAUAAACCCAUGAACCAUAAAUCCAUGAACCAUAAGUCCAUGAACCAUAAACCCAUACACCAAGUUCAUGAACCAUAAACCCAUGAACCAUAAGUCCAUGAACCACAAACCCAUGAACCGUAAGUCCAUGAACCAUAAAUCCAUGAAUCAUGGACUUCAUGAACCAUAAGUCCAUGAACCAUAAACCCAUGAACCAUAAGUCCAUGAACCANCGCCGCCGGCGUAGACCCCCUCUUGCGCGGCCCCCACCGAUCGAAGCCGCACGAGGUCGCUCAAAGCUCCCUCAUCACCAUCGAGCCGGCCGCGCUAAACCCUUCCACUCGGCCGCUCCACUGAGCUCGCCGCCCUCAAUCGCUCGAAGCCGCUCCGGCCUUAGCCGCUCGAAGGCCCGCUGCUGUCCUUGACUCGAAGCCGCGCCACCCGCGGCCGAUACUUUCGAAGCCGCGCCACCCGCGGCAGGUCCGCCCGAAGCCACACAGAGGCUCCGUCGAAGUCGCUGUCCUCUCGAAGCCGCGCCACCAGCGGCCGGUCCUCUCGAAGCCGCGCCACCCGCGGCCGGUCCUCUCGAAGCCGCGCCACCCGCGGCCGAUCCGCCNCCCGAAGCCGCGCCACCCGCGGCCGAUACUUUCGAAGCCGCGCCACCCGCGGCAGGUCCGCCCGAAGCCACGCAGAGGCUCCGUCGAAGUCGCCGUCACCCGAAGCCGCGCCACCCGCGGCCGGUCCUCUCGAAGCCGCGCCACCCGCGGCCGGUCCUCUCGAAGCCGCGCCACCCGCGGCCGAUCCGCCCGAAGCCGCGCCACCCGCGGCCAAUUCGUCGAUGCCCAUGCCGAGCCGCCGCCCAUAACUCUGCUCGUGAUCUUGGCCGAGCCGCGCCACCCGCGCGCCGUCGUCGACUUUGAUGGCUCGAACCCGAGGAGUUCCCUCUAAUGCCGCGUCGCUCCACCUCGAAGGCCGCAGCCCCGUCGAUGCCACGCCGCUGUCGUGGCCCUUCACCGCUGCAGAGCGUCGUCGUCACGGCCCUCCUCCGUCGUGGUCUCAGAUCCGCGGCUCCACUGUCAGGUCACAGCCCCAGCGAAGCUCCGUCAUCAACAAAGCCCGCCAGCUGCUCGACGGCGAUCCUGAGAGAGAGAGCGGUGCUCUACUCUCAAACGGAGUCCGCCCACCAACCGCUCGACGGCGAACCUGAGAGAGAGAGCGGUGCUCUCCUCUUAAAUGAAUUUAGAUCCGCUCGCCAAGCGCUCGACGACGAAAUUGAGAGAGAGAGCGGUGCUCUCCUCUCAAAUGAAGUCAAGUCCGCCAACCGCUCCGACGACGAAUCCGAGAGAGAGAGCGGUGCUCUCCUCUCAAACAAAGUUCGCCCGCUAAUUGCUCGGUGGCGAAUCAUAAAGAGAGCGAUGCUCUCAUUUACCGACCAAUCAUUCGACGAAAUACUUCGUCGUCGACGUGCUAAUCAAACCGCUCGAUGGAAUGCCGAGAUGAACAUCGAUGGUGCUCUUUGCAAAAUAUCACCAAAAAGAGAGAUCACUCUAAAAGAGAGAGAGAGCUUUGACAAAAUCACAUUAGACACUUCAAAUUAAAUUGAAAUUUAAUUUGUUAUUCAAAUCCAGAAUUUGAAGAAAAUGUAUAUGAAAAUCUUAAUUGAUCAAAAAUUUUUUUUUUUAAUAAAACCUCGAGACAUGAAUCUAGGCCCGAUCAUAUGGACCUAAGUCAUUGAACCUCAACCCAUCCGUAUUAAAUCAACACUUUGACUCUAAACCCAUUUAACCCAAUCUAAUCUAAACCCAUUAACCUUAACCUCACUCAAAAUCCAUUAACCGUUACCUAUAACCCAAUCCUAUAACCUAAUCCAAUUAAACCUUAGCCCAAUUCUAAACCCAUAACCUAUAACCCAAUCCAAUUAAAUCUAGGCCUAGUCCAAAGCCCAGAGCCCAUUUACAAAUGGCCCCAGUCCAAAACCCAUUUGGGCCCACUAUCUAAGCCCAUUAUCCAAAACUCAUUAAAACCAUUAACCCAUAAACCCAUAUACAUAAACCUAUAUACAUUUACCCAUGAACCCAUACACAUUUAACCCAUAUCCAAGCCCAUAACCUUAACCAAGUCCAUGAACUUUGAACCAAAACCAUGGACCAAACCAUACACCAAAUCCUGUGGACCAUACCAUACACCAAAUCCACGAACUAUGAAUCAAGUUCAUGAAUCAAAUCAAGUUCAUGAGCCAUGGAUCAUAAACCACAAACCAUACACCAAGUUCAUGAACCAUAAACCCAUGAACCAUAAGUCCAUGAACCAUAAACCCAUGAACCAUAAGUCCAUGAACCAUAAACCCAUGAACCAUAAGUCCAUGAACCAUAAACCCAUGAACCAUAAGUCCAUGAACCAUAAACCCAUGAACCAUAAGUCCAUGAACCAUAAACCCAUGAACCAUAAGUCCAUGAACCAUAAACCCAUGAACCAUAAGUCCAUGAACCAUAAACCCAUGAACCAUAAGUCCAUGAACCAUAAACCCAUGAACCAUAAGUCCAUGAACCAUAAACCCAUGAACCAUAAGUCCAUGAACCAUAAACCCAUGAACCAUAAGUCCAUGAACCAUAAACCCAUGAACCAUAAGUCCAUGAACCAUAAACCCAUGAACCAUAAGUCCAUGAACCAUAAACCCAUGAACCAUAAGUCCAUGAACCAUAAACCCAUGAACCAUAUCUAAGUUCAUGAACCAUAAUCCCAUAUACCCAAUACCAUAAACCUUGUGAACCAAACCCAAACCUUCGACCGAAACGUCGUUAAACUAAUCCACCAAAUCAACCGACCGAAACGUCGUUAAACUAAACCUAAAUCCGAUAUCGACCGAAAUGUCGUUAAACUAAACUCAA